This 145-nucleotide microRNA precursor is filed under the name Daucus carota subsp. sativus. Its description in RNAcentral is "pre miRNA mir-166". It matches the Rfam family "mir-166 microRNA precursor family". Rfam says of the family: This family represents the plant microRNA (miRNA) precursor mir-166. Animal miRNAs are transcribed as ~70nt precursors and subsequently processed by the Dicer enzyme to give a ~22nt product. The record is from Rfam by way of RNAcentral. Lineage: Eukaryota; Viridiplantae; Streptophyta; Magnoliopsida; Apiales; Apiaceae.
UUUGUGGGGGAUGUUGGCUGGCUCGAUGCAUUCACUUUUGAUCUUUCACAGCACCGAUCAUGUGAUCUUUCUGUACUGGAUUUGAUAUAUUUAUAUAUGAAUUAUAUCAAGUGACUGCAUCGGACCAGGCUUCAUUCCUCUCAAA